AGAGUUUGAUCAUGGCUCAGAUUGAACGCUGGCGGCAUGCUUAAUACAUGCAGGUCGAACGGUAACAGGUCCUUCGGGAUGCUGACGAGUGACGGACGGGUGAGUAAUGCAUAGGAAUCUGCCCAGUAGUAGGGGACAACCUGAGGAAACUCAGGCUAAUACCGUAUAAGUCCUACGGGAGAAAGGGGGCCUCUUCUUGAAAGCUCUCGCUAUUGGAUGAGCCUAUGUCGGAUUAGCUUGUUGGUGGGGUAACGGCCUACCAAGGCGACGAUCCGUAGCUGGUCUGAGAGGACGAUCAGCCACACUGGGACUGAGACACGGCCCAGACUCCUACGGGAGGCAGCAGUAGGGAAUAUUGGACAAUGGGCGAAAGCCUGAUCCAGCAAUGCCGCGUGUGUGAAGAAGGCCUGCGGGUUGUAAAGCACUUUCAGUUGGGAAGAAAAUCUUUAGGUUAAUAUCCUAAAGUCUUGACGUUACCAACAGAAGAAGCACCGGCUAACUCUGUGCCAGCAGCCGCAGUAAUACAGAGGGUGCGAGCGUUAAUCGGAAUUACUGGGCGUAAAGCGUGCGUAGGCGGUUAAGUCAGUCGGAUGUGAAAGCCCAAGGCUUAACCUUGGAACGGCAUUCGAUACUGCUUAGCUAGAGUACAGUAGAGGGAAGC
RNAcentral lists this ribosomal RNA (661 nucleotides) under uncultured bacterium. RNAcentral's name for it is "bacterial SSU rRNA". It matches the Rfam family "Bacterial small subunit ribosomal RNA", at positions 8 to 662 of the family's 1533-position model. The record is from RNAcentral.